UGCAGACAACUGCUCGGUAAUGAUAGGAAGGCUUAAUGGAGUUCAAACCAAAAUCAGAGAAGUUGUACCCAAUGUUAUAGUUAAGGUUGCAUUUGUCACAACUUAAGCCUGUCUUCAAAAGCUGCAUCUAACGCCCUUCCCACCAC
This is a long non-coding RNA of Episyrphus balteatus (marmalade hoverfly), 146 nucleotides long. RefSeq lists it as uncharacterized. Lineage: Eukaryota; Metazoa; Arthropoda; Insecta; Diptera; Syrphidae. The record is from RefSeq and is a predicted model, not a curated record. The transcript is spliced from 2 exons.